GUAAAAUUGGGCCUGUGCCCCCUGAGUCUGGCUAUCAGGACAAGAGAGGUCUUCACAAAUCAAGGCGUGGAGGGCCCAGGGCCUGAGGUAGAAUGAGGGAAUGCCCGCUGAGAACAGCACAUUCUGACGCCUGGCCUGUCUUCUCCACCGGAGCGCAUUGCAUCCUGGGAGCUCGUGGCCAGACCCGCAGUCCCUCCAUAUGGUAUCCUAAAGCACCGACCCAGAUGAUUCUCAUUCUCGAGGGCCCUUGGGUGCCAGCUUGACCCGACUCUGGACUGGUGCCAGCGCUCUCCUGGGAGCCACACUGAAAAUAACCCCAAUCCAUCUUAGAGAGUGCCAGCUCAGUGUGCCGUCUGGGCAAAGGUCUGGGGCACUGCUCUCAACUUUGCUAACUAUUUCAAACUGUGCUGACGGCUCACCAAAUCUACAAACGCUUCUUUUAAUCAUCAGUUGCCCCAUAUUCCAAUCAAAUGCAGCUGUUUUAAAAAAAAAGCCAAUUUCAGCUUGAGGAAAAAUGAAGAAACCCACACCCUCCCAUGCACUCUAACUGAUGUUUAAUCAGAAUAACAAAGAGCUCCACUUUUCAGUUGGCACUACAGCCUUUGUUUGCAUAGUCUGCAUUCUAAAAGUCUGGUAAAUUGUUGUAAAAAAGCUUUUCACUGGAAAAAUAGUCUGUCAAUAAUGGAGUGGUGGAUAUGGCAACCAAAUAUUUUUAUAUUGGACACCUGAAAAUUGUGGUUUUCCUCUAUUGCAGGGCAUAACAGGGUCACAGUAGGUACAACAAGAUUGACUUGUGUGAUCUGUUCAUGGCGCUGUUUAGCCGUUUAAUUAAUCUAGCAAAGACACAAAAUCAUAUGUCUGCUAACCA
Long non-coding RNA from Anguilla rostrata (American eel), 868 nucleotides. RefSeq lists it as uncharacterized. The transcript has 2 exons. The record is from RefSeq and is a predicted model, not a curated record. NCBI's taxonomy places the organism in Eukaryota, Metazoa, Chordata, Actinopteri, Anguilliformes, Anguillidae.